Long non-coding RNA from Pundamilia nyererei, 272 nucleotides. RefSeq lists it as uncharacterized. The record is from RefSeq and is a predicted model, not a curated record. NCBI's taxonomy places the organism in Eukaryota, Metazoa, Chordata, Actinopteri, Cichliformes, Cichlidae. The transcript has 3 exons.
GUGACUGUGGCGCUGCAAGCUUUCACUUUCGUUUAUAAGGAAAAAACAGUUUAAAGUAGCGAGGCAGGGGAAGACGAUCAAAAUCUUGAACAUGGCUAGUGCAGAGCCCAUGGAGGUCGACAGACCUGACGACAUGAGCCAAGUUGAAGAUGGAGCUCUCAUUGUUCUCUCACUGAAGUGGAUAAAGUCUGAUGAUGAACCACAAAAAACAAAGAAGCCUGAGACUAGUCUACAGAAAAUGCUUCAGACCUGGUUCAACAAAUGUAUACCUA